Molecule: ribosomal RNA, 730 nt
Filed under: uncultured bacterium
Lineage: Bacteria
Description: bacterial SSU rRNA
Rfam family: Bacterial small subunit ribosomal RNA
Source: RNAcentral
ACGGGUGAGUAAAGUAUCGGAACGUGCCCAGUCGGGGGAUAACGUAGCGAAAGUUACGCUAAUACCGCAUACGAUCUAUGGAUGAAAGCGGGAUCGCAAGACCUCGCGCGAUUGGAGCGGCCGAUAUCAGAUUAGGUAGUUGGUGGGGUAGGCCCACCAAGCCGACGAUCUGUAGCUGGUCUGAGAGGACGACCAGCCACACUGGGACAGACACGGCCCAGACUCCUACGGGAGGCAGCAGUGGGGAAUUUUGGACAAUGGGCGCACCUGAUCCAGCCAUGCCGCGUGCAGGAUGAAGGCCUUCGGGUUGUAAACUGCUUUUGUGGAACGAAAGGUUCUGCCCUAAUAAGCUGGGAAUAUGACGGUACCGUAAGAAUAAGCAGGCUAACUACGUGCCAGCAGCCGCGGUAAUACGUAGGGUGCGAGCGUUAAUCGGAAUUUGGGCGUAAAGCGUGCGCAGGCGGUUAUGUAAGACAGAUGUGAAAUCCCCGGGCUCAAUGGGAACUGCAUUAGUGACUGCAUAGCUGGAGUACGGCAGAGGGGGAUGGAAUUCCGCGUAGCAGUGAAAUGCGUAGAUAUGCGGAGGAACACCGAUGGCGAAGGCAAUCCCCUGGCUGUACUGACGCUCAUGCACGAAAGCGUGGGGAGCAAACAGGAUUAGAUACCCUGGUACCACGCCCUAAACGAUGUCAACUGGUUGUUGGGUCUUCACUGACUCAGUAACGAAGCU